GGUGGUGUGGCGCAAAGGUAGCGUGCGGUCCUCCUACUUGCUAAACCAAGUUUGAGUCACCGAAGACUGAGGUUGUGGGUUCGAGUCCCAUCACCAUCG
Non-coding RNA from Phialemonium atrogriseum, 99 nucleotides. NCBI's taxonomy places the organism in Eukaryota, Fungi, Ascomycota, Sordariomycetes, Cephalothecales, Cephalothecaceae. The record is from the annotation of a RefSeq genome assembly.